Molecule: ribosomal RNA, 461 nt
Filed under: uncultured beta proteobacterium
Lineage: Bacteria; Pseudomonadati; Pseudomonadota; Betaproteobacteria
Description: bacterial SSU rRNA
Rfam family: Bacterial small subunit ribosomal RNA
Source: RNAcentral
AGGAAAGCAGGGGAUCGCAAGACCUUGCGCUUUUGGAGCGGCCGAUGUCUGAUUAGCUAGUUGGUGAGGUAAAGGCUUACCAAGGCUUCGAUCAGUAGCUGGUCUGAGAGGACGACCAGCCACACUGGGACUGAGACACGGCCCAGACUCCUACGGGAGGCAGCAGUGGGGAAUUUUGGACAAUGGGGGCAACCCUGAUCCAGCCAUGCCGCGUGAGUGAAGAAGGCCUUCGGAUUGUAAAGCUCUUUCAGCCGGAACGAAAAGGUUACGGUUAAUACCCGUGACUAAUGACGGUACCGGAAGAAGAAGCACCGGCUAACUACGUGCCAGCAGCCGCGGUAAUACAUAGGGUGCGAGCGUUAAUCGGAAUUACUGGGCGUAAAGCGUGCGCAGGCGGUUUUGUAAGUCAGAUGUGAAAUCCCCGGGCUUAACCUGGGAACUGCGUUUGAAACUACAAGGCU